GAUUAACGCUGGCGGCGUGCCUAACACAUGCAAGUCGAACGAGGUAGUAAUACCUAGUGGCAGACGGGUGAGUAACGCGUGGUCAACCUAUCCUCAAGUGGGGGAUAACCAGCCGAAAGGUUGGCUAAUACCGCAUAGGUGGGUCGGGGGGCGAUCCCCUCGGUCAUAAAAGGAAGCGAUUCGCUCGAGGACGGGACCGCGUCCCAUUAGCUAGUUGGUGGGGUAACGGCCUACCAAGGCACCGAUGGGAGCUGGUUUGAGAAAGCGACCAGCCACACUGGGACUGAGACACGGCCCAGACUCCUACGGGAGGCAGCAGUGAGGAAUUUUCCGCAAUGGGCGCAAGCCUGACGGA
This 355-nucleotide ribosomal RNA is filed under the name uncultured bacterium. Its description in RNAcentral is "bacterial SSU rRNA". It matches the Rfam family "Bacterial small subunit ribosomal RNA", at positions 28 to 390 of the family's 1533-position model. The record is from RNAcentral.